GGACUACUGGGGUAUCUAAUCCCAUUUGCUCCCCUGGCUUUCGUUCCUCAGCGUCAGUUACGGCCCAGUAAGUCGCUUACGCCACUGGUGUUCUUCCCAAUAUCUACGCAUUUCACCGCUACACUGGAAAUUCCACUUACCUCUACCGCACUCAAGUCUGCCAGUUUCCAAUGCACUCCCGGGGUUGGGCCCCGAUCUUUAACAUCAGACUUGGCAAACCGCCUACGAACGCUUUACGCCCAAUGAAUCCGGACAACGCUUGCAUCCUACGUCUUACCGCGGCUGCUGGCAC
RNAcentral lists this ribosomal RNA (292 nucleotides) under uncultured bacterium. RNAcentral describes it as "partial 16S ribosomal RNA". The record is from RNAcentral.